RNAcentral lists this ribosomal RNA (1301 nucleotides) under Periplaneta svenhedini. Its description in RNAcentral is "16S ribosomal RNA". The stretch from base 1051 to 1210 matches the Rfam family "Archaeal large subunit ribosomal RNA", at positions 2542 to 2701 of the family's 2987-position model. Lineage: Eukaryota; Metazoa; Arthropoda; Insecta; Blattodea; Blattidae. The record is from RNAcentral.
GAUUAUAUAGUUUAUUUUUGUUUAUUUUUGUUUAUUAUUUGUAUCAAAAUUAAUUUGUUGUUUUUGUAUAUUUUGUAGAUUAAAUUUUUUUAAUUAUAGUUAAUUUUUACUGUGAUGGAGUAUUUAUUAAUUUAUGGAAGUUAAUUUAUUUAUUGUACCUUGUGUAUCAGGGUUUAUUAAAUUAUAUUAUAUAUUUUUUAUUUCCCGAUUUUAAAGGAUUUAAAUAAAUAUUUUAGUUAUUGUUUUAUAAUUAUUAAUAAUAUUUAUUUGGUAGUGAUAUAUUAUUCGGCUUUAAUGGUAUCUGGUUUUUCAGGAAAUGAAUUUAAUUCAUAUAUUAUUAUUUAUAUUUCUAUUUUUAUAGUUUUAUAUUUUGUUAAUAUAAAUAUUAUGGGGGAUAAGCUCUUUAAUUUAUUUUUAUAAUUAUUAUUAAUUUUAAUUUUUGUUGGUUUUAUAUUAACUAUCAUUUUAAGUUUGUUAAAAUUUUAUUUUUACUUGUUUAUUAUUUAUUUAUUAUUUAGUUAUUUUAUUGAAAUUUUUUAUUAAAUUAUUAUUUGUUUGUAAUUAUGAUGAAAUUAGUAAUUUGUAUUUUUAUUUUGAUAAUAUUUAUUGUUGAAAUUUUAAAAGGAACUAGGCAAAUAUUAUUAUUCUCGCAUGUUUAUCAAAAACAUCUCUUCUUGUAUAGUAUAUAUGAGGUAUAGCCUGCCCACUGAAUAUUUUAAAGGGCCGCGGUAUUUUGACCGUGCAAAGGUAGCAUAAUCAUUAGUCCUUUAAUUGUGGACUGGAAUGAAUGGCUGAACGAGGAAUAUACUGUUUCUUAUUAUUUUAAUUGAAUUUAAUUUUUAAGUUAAAAAGCUUAAAUAUAUUUAUGGGACGAGAAGACCCUAUAGAGUUUAUAUAUAUCUAUUUAUUUAUUUUGUUUGUUUAUUAAUUUAUUAUUUAAUAUAUUUUGUUGGGGUGAUGGGAAGAUUUAAUUAACUCUUUUUUUAUUUAUACAUUUAUUUAUGAAUAAUUGAUCCAUUUUUGUUGAUUAUAAGAUUAAAUUACCUUAGGGAUAACAGCGUAAUCUUUUUUGAGAGUUCUUAUCGAUGAAUAGGUUUGCGACCUCGAUGUUGGAUUAAGGUUUAAUUUGGGUGUAGAAUUUCAAUUGUUUAGGUCUGUUCGACCUUUAAAAUCUUACAUGAUCUGAGUUCAGACCGGCGAGAGCCAGGUUGGUUUCUAUCUAUAAAAAAUUUUAUGUCUUAGUACGAGAGGACCAGAUAUUUGGAAUAAUUCUUAUUUAAUGAUUAUUAUUAAUUUUAUAU